RNAcentral lists this ribosomal RNA (97 nucleotides) under Methanothermobacter defluvii. Lineage: Archaea; Methanobacteriati; Methanobacteriota; Methanobacteria; Methanobacteriales; Methanobacteriaceae. The record is from RNAcentral.
UUUGGCGGUCAUGGCGUGGGGGUUAUACCUGAUCUCGUUUCGAUCUCAGUAGUUAAGUCCUGCUGCGUUGUGGGUGUGUACUGCGGUUUUUUGCUGU